UGGAAUCUAUUGUCAGGUAUUGUAAGGAAUGUAUUUUGAAGGUCACGUACCUGGGAAAGUAAACUUUGAUGUAUGUAAAUUAAGUUCGAAUUAUAUUAUUAUUUAGUAUUAUUCAGCUUAAAGAAAUGGUAUCGUGGAGAACCGAGUUCGGGUUUCAAGUACCUGGAUUUGGGGUCGCCACAGCCAUUGUCAAGAGUUGUACAAUGGCAUGGGAUUAGAGUUUGUACGAAGUCAUUGAAGAUGGGAUGAUGCCCUCCGGUCUUCAAGCUUCAAAUUCCAUCCGUUACCCCGAACAAUAGUCACUCGGGAUUGGUUCUCCUUGAUUCUUGUGGGACAUCAUUGUGUAGAUAUGUGUAUGAAAUGUUGAGAUGACGUGAC
This 378-nucleotide long non-coding RNA is filed under the name Panax ginseng (ginseng). RNAcentral describes it as "long non-coding RNA (PGIN_LNC013625)". The record is from RNAcentral. Lineage: Eukaryota; Viridiplantae; Streptophyta; Magnoliopsida; Apiales; Araliaceae.